GGAAAAAUGCUUUUAGUCUUAGAAGCGAAGCGAGCACUCCACGCAUCCAAACGACUGCUAAAUGGAGAAGGAGAAGGAGAAGGAGGAGAAGGAGGAGGACGAACUGAAGGCCACAGGAGCGGAAGCGCUAACGGAUGGUAGGUCUGGACUUCGCAUCAGAGGUUGGGUGAUCGAAUCUUUCAACCGUCCAAUUCUCAGCUCGUCAGCCGUUCAUCUGUGGGAGCAAAACAUUGGAACAUCCCAUUUGCCAGAGAUGGUGUUUGGAGAAAGUUCUUUGCUUCUUUCACAUGCAGACAGUGGCAUUAAAAUUCACUUUAGUGCAUUUGAUGCUCUUAAAGGAUGGAAACAUGAACGUUUACCACCAGUUGAAGUUCCUGCAGCAGCAAAGUGGAAAUUCAGAAGCAAGCCAUUUCAGCAGGUGAUACUUGAUUAUGACUAUACAUUCACAACACCAUAUUGUGGCAGCGAAACAAUUGAACCAAAUUCAAAGAAGAAUGGUACAGACACAAAUUUGGAAGAUGGGAGCUGUUGUUUACAGUGGGAAGAUUGCAAGGAGCAAAUCGAUCUAGUUGCAUUGGCAUCAAAAGAGCCUAUUCUCUUCUAUGAUGAGGUGGUUUUGUAUGAAGAUGAGUUGGCUGACAAUGGAGUGUCACUCCUAACAGUAAAAGUGAGAGUAAUGCCAAGUUGUUGGUUUCUUCUUCUGCGUUUCUGGCUUAGAGUUGACGGAGUACUUAUGAGAUUAAGAGACACUCGAAUGUACUGUGCUUUUGGAAGUGAUAACAGAGAAAAGCCCAUUAUUCUUCGAGAGAGCUGCUGGAGAGAAGCCACAUUUCAAGAAUUAUCUGCUAAAGGCUUUCCUUCUGAUUCUGCUGCAUAUGGCGACCCAAAUCUCAUUAAUCAGCGGCUAUCCAUCAUUAUGCAUAAGACCCAAAAGCUGAAAGUCCCUGGUUGACAAUCCAACACCAAUUCCAUCAGCGGUCAAUUCUCUAACUAGUAUCAACUGCUAUGGAUUCUUUCCUUCCCAAAUAAUGCAAGAGCAUCACCUAUCAGAUAGAUGGCCUGGAUCGAUGAAAGAGGGGCCCCACCUAUAUGGAAAGAUGAUCCGAACUGAAAACACUUGGGAGUUCAGGCCAAGCAUUGUGUACUUCCACAUGAAGACACUAAAUAGAUUCUUUAAUUUUAACUUUAUAGAUUUUCAGUAAAUAAAUUCUUCAUAAUGACAAGUAGGUACAAAAUAUUACAUAAAAUGUCACAUAAGGUUUUUUUUUUUUU
Magnolia sinica is the source of this 1272-nucleotide RNA transcript. It is a transcript of the gene named TIP41-like protein, with no coding region annotated. NCBI's taxonomy places the organism in Eukaryota, Viridiplantae, Streptophyta, Magnoliopsida, Magnoliales, Magnoliaceae. The record is from RefSeq and is a predicted model, not a curated record. The transcript has 10 exons.